AUUGAACGCUGGCGGCAGGCCUAACACAUGCAAGUCGAGCGGAGCGGCGGACGGGUGCGUAAGGCCUAGGAAUCUGCCUGGUAGUGGGGGAUAAAGUAAGGAAACGGGCGCUAAUACCGCAUACUAUAAGAUGAGGCUAGGUCGGAUUAGCUGGUUGGUGGGGUAAAGGCCUACCAAGGCGACGAUCCGUAACUGGUCUGAGAGGAUGAUCAGCCACACUGGAACUGAGACACGGUCCAGACUCCUACGGGAGGCAGCAGUGGGGAAUAUUGGACAAUGGUCGAAAGCCUGAUCCAGCCAUGCCGCGUGUGUGAAGAAGGUCUUCGGAUUGUAAAGCACUUUAAGUUGGGAGGCGUUACCAACAGAAUAAGCACCGGCUAACUUCGUGCCAGCCGCCGCGGUAAUAC
RNAcentral lists this ribosomal RNA (407 nucleotides) under uncultured bacterium. RNAcentral describes it as "partial 16S ribosomal RNA". It matches the Rfam family "Bacterial small subunit ribosomal RNA", at positions 30 to 526 of the family's 1533-position model. The record is from RNAcentral.